This 368-nucleotide ribosomal RNA is filed under the name Salmonella enterica. Its description in RNAcentral is "partial 23S ribosomal RNA". It matches the Rfam family "Bacterial large subunit ribosomal RNA", at positions 454 to 722 of the family's 2925-position model. RNAcentral also lists the same sequence under 1 other name. The record is from RNAcentral. Lineage: Bacteria; Pseudomonadati; Pseudomonadota; Gammaproteobacteria; Enterobacterales; Enterobacteriaceae.
CAUCCUCCAAGGCUAAAUACUCCUGACUGACCGAUAGUGAACCAGUACCGUGAGGGAAAGGCGAAAAGAACCCCGGCGAGGGGAGUGAAAAAGAACCUGAAACCGUGUACGUACAAGCAGUGGGAGCCCCACCACCAAAGCAUUCUCUGGUGUUGAAGGCCCUGCAAAGCAGCAUCGCGGUGGCGGAGCGUCGUUUGCGACGCCCAACACACAAAACAAGCGGUGAGUGCUUUGGGGUGGGGUGACUGCGUACCUUUUGUAUAAUGGGUCAGCGACUUAUAUUCUGUAGCAAGGUUAACCGUAUAGGGGAGCCGUAGGGAAACCGAGUCUUAACCGGGCGUUAAGUUGCAGGGUAUAGACCCGAAACC